ACAGCAGCAGCCGCGGUAAAACGAAGGGUGCAAGCGUUAAUCGGAAUUACUGGGCGUAAAGCGUGCGUAGGCGGUUUGUUAAGUCUGUUGUGAAAUCCCCGGGCUCAACCUGGGAAUGGCAAUGGAUACUGGCAAGCUAGAGUGUGUCAGAGGAUGGUGGAAUUCCCGGUGUAGCGGUGAAAUGCGUAGGGAUCGGGAGGAACAUCAGUGGCGAAGGCGGCCAUCUGGGACAACACUGACGCUGAGGCACGAAAGCGUGGGGAGCAAACAGGAUUAGAUACCCCAGUAGUCCCUGUCUCUUAUAC
Molecule: ribosomal RNA, 305 nt
Filed under: uncultured bacterium
Lineage: Bacteria
Description: partial 16S ribosomal RNA
Rfam family: Bacterial small subunit ribosomal RNA
Source: RNAcentral